Long non-coding RNA from Rhododendron vialii, 779 nucleotides. RefSeq lists it as uncharacterized. Lineage: Eukaryota; Viridiplantae; Streptophyta; Magnoliopsida; Ericales; Ericaceae. The transcript is spliced from 3 exons. The record is from RefSeq and is a predicted model, not a curated record.
UGUUCACUUGGUUUUCUGUUCAGCACUGUACGAAGGCGGCAGUUGGAAGGUUCGCGUGAAAUUUCUGGAGGAUUAUCCUUACAGCCCGCCGUCUCUCGCCUUUGUGGGUCCCAUAUUUCACCCAAACAUAUCCCAGUUGGGCGGGAUAUGUGUGGACCUUCUUGGCUGGAAGUGGGACGCCGGAUAUGAUCUUUUAAAAGUGUUCGAAGAAAUACUUCCCGGUCUGUUGGUACAACCAAAUGCUGCAAGCCCUUACAAUCAGGAGGCGUCUGACUUGAUGUUGGCGGACGAGAAGGCGUAAGCAGAAAGAGUGAAGGCUUAUAACCACCACGCUGGAUAAGGGUAUGCUGUUUUUUUUUACCCCAUUCAGUGUUCUUUUCGCUGGGGCAUAUUUCUGUUUUGGGGUUGCUGGUUUGUGUGUCCUCUUUGACUUAUUAUUUUAUUUCCUUGGUUAGGCUUCUGUCUUUCGUAGUAGGGUGGUGCCCAUUGACACCUUCUUUAAUGCUAUUUCUUAGUUAUACGAAAGAAAUAUAAUAUGCUAUUUUGUUACUACAAUUGUGCAAAUAUUAUUUGGUCUAUUUUUCUCUCAAAACAUCAAAGAGAAAUCUUAUAUGUGACUUCCAUCAACAAAGCUGUAGAGGCAAAGAGGUGAGUCCCGUCAUGGGAGAUGUAGAAACAACGAGGCUUUCCAAACUUGAGGUAUUGCUAAUGCCUCCUGCCAAAUUCGGCUUGAAGUUCAGCAAUGCUAAUUUAGCACAAGAUUCAGCUAGAGCUCAAAA